GUUCUCAUUUCGGCAGACAUGUACUAAAAUUUGAACAAUACAGAGAAGAUUAGCAUGGUCCCUGAGCAAGGAUGACAAGCAAAUUCGUGAAGCAUUCUGUAUUUUU
Small nuclear RNA from Cavia aperea (Brazilian guinea pig), 106 nucleotides. The record is from Ensembl. Lineage: Eukaryota; Metazoa; Chordata; Mammalia; Rodentia; Caviidae.